UUCCAGAACGUUCGAGGUGACGAAAUAUUCUCUCUGGAGAAGAAAGAGAUGGAAAAAGAAUUGGGUAAUGAAGAAGGCCUACGUCUAUUCAAUCAGAUCAUUAUACAAAAGAAUAUUUGCGGGUUUAAGACUCUUCGAUCAAAAGAGCUGAGUUCCGUCCUGGAGGCGAGGAGAAAAAAAAUAGAUCCCGAUGAUGACAUGAGUGACAGGAGAGAUUCAAGCGACAGUGUUGCCACCAUAUCAGAUCCUUCGAACUGGUUCUAAAGAGAUAUUAUUUUAAAAUAUGAAGAACAUGCAAAGGAGAUUGUGAUUAGGUUAUGAAAAUUGAAAUUGUAAUUCUUUGUGGAAUAAAUAAUUAAAAACA
Parasteatoda tepidariorum (common house spider) is the source of this 364-nucleotide non-coding RNA. Lineage: Eukaryota; Metazoa; Arthropoda; Arachnida; Araneae; Theridiidae. The record is from RefSeq and is a predicted model, not a curated record.